This is a long non-coding RNA of Panicum hallii, 360 nucleotides long. RefSeq lists it as uncharacterized. Lineage: Eukaryota; Viridiplantae; Streptophyta; Magnoliopsida; Poales; Poaceae. The record is from RefSeq and is a predicted model, not a curated record. The transcript has 3 exons.
CGUAACCAAGCGGGGCCAUGUGCCAAGUGCGGAGGUUUGGUCUCCGGAAUAUGGAGGUGCACCACGGCCGCCCAGCGGCCAGGCGUGGUCGUUGGAAGAAGAUCACGCAAGCUGGCAGUACUGUCCUGGUGGCUGUUUCUGGCAAUCAUCUGAUGGAAGUCAAAGAUCAUGAGAAAGAGCAGAUUGAAGACAACAAAUGUCAGAAUGAGAAAAUCCCUUUGCCAAUCGGCCAUCACCUCCGAUUGAGCUCAAACCGGCAGUGACAGUAGCUUCCACUGCCGGUUUGAACCACGGACCUAUUGUGAAUACAGAAGCAUUUUUCAUCGCCGUUUCAUGUUACGGACUAACAGUGAUGAUCGC